Cyprinus carpio carpio is the source of this 760-nucleotide long non-coding RNA. Lineage: Eukaryota; Metazoa; Chordata; Actinopteri; Cypriniformes; Cyprinidae. The record is from Ensembl.
CAAAAAUGGUCAUUACUAAAAAUUAAACACUAAUUUAAUUCAUAGUUUUAUUUUUCUAUAGGUUAAGCACCUUUUCGUAAAUAUGGCUGUUUCCCAGUUUUUAUUUUUUUUUGUUUGUUUUUUUAUUUUUUUUUUUUUUUUUUGUUUUUUUUUUAGGAUUUACAUUUAAAAAAAUGAGCCUACUUCAAACAUUUUAAGCAGCUUGAACAAAACCUGUUAAUAUUUAUUAUAGACCACUGUAACUGUCUAUUAUCUAAAAAAAACAAAUUUAUUAUGAAAAUAAAAGUGUGUACACCAGUUAAACUGGACGAUAAAGAAAUUGCUAACAAUAGUUUAAUAGAGCAUGUUUUAGGUUUAUAGGUGUUUAGAUGCAGAAAUUUAAUUUAAUUAAAUAUAGAUUAAUUCUUGUUAGAGCAAAAAAAAAAAAAAAUAAUAAUAAUAAUAAAUACAUGAAUACAUACAAAAAAAGCAGCCAAGACGAAUGAUUUUCUGUUUUUAUAGAUUAAAAUUAAAGACAGAAAGCAGCUGGUAAAUGCAGUCACUUUAAUAUUCAAAUCCAGUAUCAUGAUACACUUCAGAUUUAUUUCUCAACUGUUUAUGUUCACGUGACUGUUUUCGUUUAUAUUCGCCAAGCUAUUAUGUAUUUUGAAAUAACCUUGUUCUUGAUUUGUUCGUUCUUGCCAGAAUCAGCGUCCUCUGGAGCUCGAGAGAUCGAUGUUAUUCUGCCCUUAGACAGUCUCGCGCUGUCAAAUAGUCUUUC